RNAcentral lists this long non-coding RNA (829 nucleotides) under Medicago truncatula (barrel medic). Its description in RNAcentral is "lncRNA gene49082". The record is from RNAcentral. Lineage: Eukaryota; Viridiplantae; Streptophyta; Magnoliopsida; Fabales; Fabaceae.
UUUGACUAAUUAAUAAUCUAAAUGCAUAACUAGUCUUUGUGAUUUUAACCAUGAUCAUAGCGUAUCGCUUUACUUCUUUGAUCAGUAAUGAAAUAUAUUAGUAGCAUCUUUGUUGUCAAAAAAAAAAAUUAUUCUCCAUUUGGAUCUAUUACUUACAGAUUUAUUUUUUAGUCAAUGUAGUUUUCUGACCGGUUAAAAAACCUUUAAACCCUUUAGAAUCUAUUUUGCCUCUGUUUAGAACACCUAACAUUCUAUAUUUUUUGUUUUGUUUUUGGUAUUAUACUUUCUAUAACUAUCUCUAAACAUAUUUUAUUAAUGUAGAUACGAAUUGAGAACAAUUUCUAUCGUACACACACGAUUUGACAUAUAACAAUGCAUUUGGUUUCGUUAAAUAGGGACUGAUCUAUGUGUUAGCUUGUGUGGACUUAUGACUACACAAACUAUUUAGAAUUUGUUUUUUUAGUAGUAUAAUAUAGUUAAAGUUUUUUUAUCAUCUUACUGUUCUUCUCUCAUAUGUUUUUGCUCAUUCUCAUCAAAAUAGUCGAGCGUGAAUUAACUCACCCAGAUGUAUUCUCAGCGUGAGUUAACUCAUGCAAUGAAUUUCUCAAUAAAAAUGAACAAAAACAGAUGGGAGAAAAGCAAUUCUAUUUUUAUCAUGUGUAAAUUUUGACCAAAUGGUCAAAAUGGCUCACACCUCUCACACAACCUUUCUUUCUUGGCCUCCCUUAUUUUGACCAAAUGAAAAAAAUCAUUCAAUAUUUUUAGAAUAUAAAAUGUCAAAAUGGCCUCUCACACAACUUUUCAAAAUUUAUGGAUCUGUCAUUAUCUU